This is a long non-coding RNA of Daucus carota subsp. sativus, 356 nucleotides long. RefSeq lists it as uncharacterized. The record is from RefSeq and is a predicted model, not a curated record. NCBI's taxonomy places the organism in Eukaryota, Viridiplantae, Streptophyta, Magnoliopsida, Apiales, Apiaceae. The transcript is spliced from 2 exons.
UGUGGGGCAAGAAUGAAGUUAUCUACUUUCUUUUUCAUUUUCUUCGUGCUUUUUGCUUUUGUAGGCUUUGUUCGUGCAAGAAAAGACCCGCAGGAUUACUGGAACAAAGUGAUGAACGGAAAACCGAUGCCUCAGUCAAUUAAAGACCUUUACUCUCAAUCAAAUUUCAAAGAUUUUGAUACUCGCCCAUCACCAUAUAUGAAUUGCGAUUCUUUAAGACACAAAAAAAUGGAAGCUGUUGAUGCAAAAAUUAAAAAUCCUUAAAGAUGUAAAGUCUUCAUUAGAUUCAUUAGUAUCCAUGUAAUAUUAUGGUUUCAAAAUAAUAAAAUUGUGAGGUGAAAAAGCUUUUAAGGAUA